GCGAAAGGUGACACAAAAGUGGCAGCCUAUAAAAAUCCUCUGAAAGCACACAACAAGAAGCUGACGCUGCAGGCUCCCCUUUAGUAGCCCAUUAGUCCCACGGUGAGCUUCACACUGUCACAUGGAAACUUUAUGGCUGCCUUGUGUGCACGGUCAGUGUGGAACAGUGGAAAGAACUUGGCUGAAUCAACAAGUUUCUCUACGACUGAAGCAGAAAAAACUGGAGCAGGAUUUUGAUUAAAAAAAGAUGUUGUUCACUGUGACAUGUGAAGACGGAGAACAGUAUUUACACGCAGUAUGUGCUCCUCGGCUUUUUCCAUUUUCGUGGCUCCCCCAACCCCUGGAGAGGCAGUCAGGCCCAGGAUCUGAG
This is a long non-coding RNA of Oreochromis aureus, 370 nucleotides long. RefSeq lists it as uncharacterized. The record is from RefSeq and is a predicted model, not a curated record. The transcript has 3 exons. NCBI's taxonomy places the organism in Eukaryota, Metazoa, Chordata, Actinopteri, Cichliformes, Cichlidae.